RNAcentral lists this non-coding RNA (122 nucleotides) under Colwellia sp. MT41. RNAcentral describes it as "Ruegeria cis8 sRNA". It matches the Rfam family "Ruegeria cis8 sRNA". From Rfam's summary of the family: Cis-encoded. Targets hypothetical protein. Higher sRNA expression during C-limited growth. Lineage: Bacteria; Pseudomonadati; Pseudomonadota; Gammaproteobacteria; Alteromonadales; Colwelliaceae. The record is from Rfam by way of RNAcentral.
AAUGCUUUAGCAAUAUAAGGAAUCAAGGGUAAGUUGAUAAACAAUAAGACGACGUUGCCAAUAUACAUAGAAACAAUGACUGACCAAAACACUUCUGGGUUAUCAACAAAUAAGCGUGGACC